Molecule: ribosomal RNA, 425 nt
Filed under: uncultured bacterium
Lineage: Bacteria
Description: partial 16S ribosomal RNA
Rfam family: Bacterial small subunit ribosomal RNA
Source: RNAcentral
GUGGGGAAUAUUGGGCAAUGGGCGAAAGCCUGACCCAGCAACGCCGCGUGAAGGAAGAAGGUUUUCGGAUCGUAAACUUCUAUCCUUGGUGAAGAUAAUGACGGUAGCCAAGAAGGAAGCCCCGGCUAACUACGUGCCAGCAGCCGCGGUAAUACGUAGGGGGCAAGCGUUGUCCGGAAUGAUUGGGCGUAAAGGGCGCGUAGGCGGCCCGGUAAGUCUGAAGUGAAAGUCCUGCUUUUAAGGUGGGAAUUGCUUUGGUUACUGUCGGGCUUGAGUGCAGGAGAGGUAAGCGGAAUUCCCGGUGUAGCGGUGAAAUGCGUAGAGAUCGGGAGGAACACCAGUGGCGAAGGCGGCUUACUGGACUGUAACUGACGCUGAGGCGCGAAAGUGUGGGGAGCAAACAGGAUUAGAAACCCGAGUAGUCC